UUACGGCCAAAUCACGUUCAAACACCAGUUCCCGUGCGGCCAGCGAUGUUAAGAAAUGUCAGGUCUGGCCAGUACCUAGAUGGGUAACCGCUUGGGAAUAUCAGGUG
This is a non-coding RNA of Acanthosepion pharaonis, 107 nucleotides long. The record is from the annotation of a GenBank genome assembly. Lineage: Eukaryota; Metazoa; Mollusca; Cephalopoda; Sepiida; Sepiidae.